Molecule: long non-coding RNA, 204 nt
Filed under: Amborella trichopoda
Lineage: Eukaryota; Viridiplantae; Streptophyta; Magnoliopsida; Amborellales; Amborellaceae
Description: long non-coding RNA (ATRI_LNC003107)
Source: RNAcentral
CGCACAAAAACGGGGUCCUUAACAACCACGUUUGCCACUGUGAAAGUGUGCACGAUCUCCCAUUGUAAACCACUAGGAAAGUCGAGCUUUGAAACACAAUUGCCAGCAAGGAUAUGAAACUUCCAUGGAGGAUUGCUUUCUUUCUUAAUGGACUGAACCAGCAACUUCGAGUCGCUCUCGAUCAGGAGUGGGAAGCAAUUGAGA